GGGGUCCGAGAGAAAACCUGUAUUGAAGACUUUAGCAAAGGGUCGGUGGUAGAGCGACAUUAUACUACGGACGAACUCGGGGGGGAUAUUCAUGGCCGCUAGGGUACCCUCCAUGUAUCCCCAGUGCAGGCGGUCAAAUGCCUUUUCUGCAUCUAAGGCGAGGAGCAGCCCCUUUUGGGAGGACUGGUUGGCCCAGUCUAUAAUGUUUAGAAAUUGUCUGGUGUUAUCCCCCACCUGUCUUCCAGGUACAAAUCCCGCUUGCUCCGCGGAGAUUAGUGUAGACAACAGGGGCCGAAGCCUCGCCGCUACUAGUUUUGCGUACAGUUUUACGUCCGCAUUGAGGAGGGAGAUCGGCCGUAAAUUGGCGCACAUCGUGGGUGUUUUGUUGGGUUUGGGUAGGGUAACUAUGUAUGCUCCCAACAUGUCCCGUGGUAUGCCGCCUGAGGUUUUUAUUGAGUUAAAUAGCGUUGUUAGGUAGGGAGUGAGUUGUGGCGCUAGCUUUAUGUAGUAGUAAUUGGACAGGCCGUCUGGUCCGGGUGCUUUAUGCUUAGGAAGUGUGCGUAUCGCUAAUUCUACUUCUUCCUCAGUGAAAGGUUGUUUGAGUGAUUCCGCUUGGGCUGGUGACAGGCGGGGAAGGUUUGCUUGCUCUAUGAAAUGCUCAAUUUCCACCCUGGUGGGUUGAUGUGUUCCCGGGUCCCUACCCAGUUGGUACAGGUUUUCAUAGUAGUGCGCGAGUUCAUUUACUAUGUCUUGGGGGUGGUAAAGUUUCGCCCCUAGUGAGGAGGUGAGGUAUGGUAUUUUGGAUUGUAUAUAUUUCUGUUUUAGUUUGUUAGCUAAGCGUUUGCCCGCUUUGUUUCCUGUCAUGUAGUAAGUUUGCUUAAGGAAGCGCAUGUGUCUCUCAGUUGUUUUUAGCUGUUCUGCUUCUAAUUUUGCCCUUAGGGACAUUAGUUGUUUAUGAGUACGUUUAGUUGGGUUGGCUUUGUGUUGGGUUUCAAGCGUGGAAAUUUCCCGCUCCAUGCCCAGCUGUGCUUUUUGACGAAGUUUUUUUGUUAGGGAACCAAUUUGCACAAGGUGUCCGCGCAUGACCGCUUUAUGCGCUUCCCAUCGGGUCGUCAGUGGUGUCGUGCAUUGUUCAUGA
Non-coding RNA from Pelobates cultripes (western spadefoot toad), 1138 nucleotides. The record is from the annotation of a GenBank genome assembly. Lineage: Eukaryota; Metazoa; Chordata; Amphibia; Anura; Pelobatidae.